GAUGAGGUGGCCCGAGUGGUUAAGGCGAUGGACUGCUAAUCCAUUGUGCUAUGCACGCAUGGGUUCGAAUCCCAUCCUCAUCG
This is a non-coding RNA of Salvelinus namaycush (lake trout), 83 nucleotides long. The record is from the annotation of a RefSeq genome assembly. NCBI's taxonomy places the organism in Eukaryota, Metazoa, Chordata, Actinopteri, Salmoniformes, Salmonidae.